GACGAACGCUGGCGGCGUGCCUAAUACAUGCAAGUAGAACGCACAGUUUAUACCGUAGCUUGCUACACCAUAGACUGUGAGUUGCGAACGGGUGAGUAACGCGUAGGUAACCUGCCUGGUAGCGGGGGAUAACUAUUGGAAACGAUAGCUAAUACCGCAUAAUAUUAAUUAUUGCAUGAUAAUUAAUUGAAAGGUGCAAUUGCACCACUACCAGAUGGACCUGCGUUGUAUUAGCUAGUAGGUGAGGUAACGGCUCACCUAGGCGACGAUACAUAGCCGACCGGGGAGGGGGAUCGCCCACAUGGGGACUGGAACACGCCCCAGAGUCCUACGGGAGGCGGCAGUAGGGAAUCUUCGGCAAUGGACGAAAGUCUGACCGAGCAACGCGGCGUGAGUGAAGAAGGUUUUGGGUUCGUAAAGCUCUGUUUUAAGGGAGGAACGGGUGUGGGAGUGGAAGGUCCACACUGGGCGGUAUCUUACCAGAAAGGGACGGCUAACUACGUG
Molecule: ribosomal RNA, 504 nt
Filed under: uncultured bacterium
Lineage: Bacteria
Description: partial 16S ribosomal RNA
Rfam family: Bacterial small subunit ribosomal RNA
Source: RNAcentral